CCUACGGGUGGCAGCAGUGGGGAAUAUUGCACAAUGGGGGAAACCCUGAUGCAGCGACGCCGCGUGAGUGAAGAAGUAUUUCGGUACGUAAAGCUCUAUCAGCAGGGAAGAAAAUGACGGUACCUGACUAAGAAGCCCCGGCUAACUACGUGCCAGCAGCCGCGGUAAUACGUAGGGGGCAAGCGUUAUCCGGAUUUACUGGGUGUAAAGGGAGCGUAGACGGCAGCGCAAGUCUGGAGUGAAAUCCCAUGGCUUAACCAUGGAACUGCUUUGGAAACUGUGCAGCUAGAGUGCAGGAGAGGUAAGCGGAAUUCCUAGUGUAGCGGGGAAAUGCGUAGAUAUUAGGAGGAACACCAGUGGCGAAGGCGGCUUACUGGACUGUAACUGACGUUGAGGCUCGAAAGCGUGGGGAGCAAACAGGAUUAGAUACCCCAGUAGUC
Molecule: ribosomal RNA, 440 nt
Filed under: uncultured bacterium
Lineage: Bacteria
Description: partial 16S ribosomal RNA
Rfam family: Bacterial small subunit ribosomal RNA
Source: RNAcentral